CCUACGGGCGGCAGCAGUGGGGAAUAUUGGACAAUGGGCGAAAGCCUGCUCCAGCCAUGCCGCGUGUGUGAAGAAGGCCUUCGGGUUGUAAAGCACUUUCAGUGGGGAAGAAAGCCUUGGGGCUAAUACCCUCGAGGAAGGACAUCACCCACAGAAGAAGCACCGGCUAACUCCGUGCCAGCAGCCGCGGUAAUACGGAGGGUGCGAGCGUUAAUCGGAAUUACUGGGCGUAAAGCGCGCGUAGGCGGUCUGAUAAGCCGGUUGUGAAAGCCCCGGGCUCAACCUGGGAACGGCAUCCGGAACUGUCAGGCUAGAGUGCAGGAGAGGAAGGUAGAAUUCCCGGUGUAGCGGUGAAAUGCGUAGAGAUCGGGAGGAAUACCAGUGGCGAAGGCGGCCUUCUGGACUGACACUGACGCUGAGGUGCGAAAGCGUGGGUAGCAAACAGGAUUAGAUACCCCGGUAGUC
Molecule: ribosomal RNA, 465 nt
Filed under: Vreelandella stevensii
Lineage: Bacteria; Pseudomonadati; Pseudomonadota; Gammaproteobacteria; Oceanospirillales; Halomonadaceae
Description: partial 16S ribosomal RNA
Rfam family: Bacterial small subunit ribosomal RNA
Source: RNAcentral